This 230-nucleotide unclassified non-coding RNA is filed under the name uncultured fungus. RNAcentral's name for it is "sequence contains ITS1, 5.8S rRNA gene". The stretch from base 182 to 230 matches the Rfam family "5.8S ribosomal RNA", at positions 1 to 49 of the family's 154-position model. Lineage: Eukaryota; Fungi. The record is from RNAcentral.
UUUCCGUAGGUGAACCUGCGGAAGGAUCAUUAUCAAAACAGCGGACUUCGGUCCUUGCUGCACCCUUGUCUUUUGCGUACCGUAUGUUUCCUCGGCGGGCUUGCCUGCCAACGGGGACCCACCACAAACCCAUUGUAGUACAAGAAGUACACGUCUGAACAAAACAAAACAAACUAUUUACAACUUUCAACAACGGAUCUCUUGGUUCUGGCAUCGAUGAAGAACGCAGC